Molecule: ribosomal RNA, 497 nt
Filed under: uncultured bacterium
Lineage: Bacteria
Description: partial 16S ribosomal RNA
Rfam family: Bacterial small subunit ribosomal RNA
Source: RNAcentral
GAUGAACGCUGGCGGCGUGCCUAAUACAUGCAAGUCGAGCGAACAGACGAGGAGCUUGCUCCUCUGACGUUAGCGGCGGAAGGGUGAGUAACACGUGGAUAACCUACCUAUAAGACUGGGAUAACUUCGGGAAACCGGAGCUAAUACCGGAUAAUAUAUUGAACCGCAUGGUUCAAUAGUGAAAGACGGUUUUGCUGUCACUUAUAGAUGGAUCCGCGCCGCAUUAGCUAGUUGGUAAGGUAACGGCUUACCAAGGCGACGAUGCGUAGCCGACCUGAGAGGGUGAUCAGCCACACUGGAACUGAGACACGGUCCAGACUCCUACGGGAGGCAGCAGUAGGGCAUCUUCCGCAAUGGGCGAAAGCCUGACGGAGCAACGCCGCGUGAGUGAUGACGGUCUUCGGAUCGUAAAACUCUGUUAUUCGGGAAGAACAAAUGUGUAAGUAACUAUGCACGUCUUGACGGUACCUAAUCAGAAAGCCCCGGCUAACUACGUG